AGUUUGAUCCUGGCUCAGAUUGAACGCUGGCGGAAUGCUUUACACAUGCAAGUCGAGCGGCAGCGCGGGGCAACCUGGCGGCGAGCGGCGAACGGGUGAGUAAUACAUCGGAACGUGCCCAGACGUGGGGGAUAACUACUCGAAAGAGUGGCUAAUACCGCAUACGAUCUAAGGAUGAAAGCGGGGGAUUGCAAGACCUCGCGCGUUUGGAGCGGCCGAUGGCAGAUUAGGUAGUUGGUGGGGUAAAGGCUUACCAAGCCCGCGAUCUGUAGCUGGUCUGAGAGGAUGAUCAGCCACACUGGGACUGAGACACGGCCCAGACUCCUACGGGAGGCAGCAGUGGGGAAUUUUGGACAAUGGGCGAAAGCCUGAUCCAGCCAUUCCGCGUGCAGGAUGAAGGCCCUCGGAUUGUAAACUGCUUUUGUACAGAACGAAAAAGCUCUUUCUAAUACAGAGAGUCCAUGACGGUACUGUAAGAAUAAGCACCGGCUAACUACGUG
This 500-nucleotide ribosomal RNA is filed under the name uncultured bacterium. RNAcentral describes it as "bacterial SSU rRNA". It matches the Rfam family "Bacterial small subunit ribosomal RNA", at positions 10 to 507 of the family's 1533-position model. The record is from RNAcentral.